UUCAUCUCUAUCUGCUUUUGUCGUCUUCCACUACCGCACCCCACGACCUUCCUCAUCCACUAACCGCCGCCGCCGCCGUCGCCGGUGUGCCGCCCGUGCACCUCGCCUCCUCCCUCGCGCCGCCUCCGGACCGUGCUAGCUCGCCGUCGCCGACCUCCCGCCGCGGAUCCCCGUCGCCACCCCAGCACGCCUCGCGUCUUCCAGCCAGCAUGCGCCGCCACGAGCACCAGCCCCCAACCUCCGGGCCCCGCCGCCGGGGAUCUCGCAGAUCAGCCGUGCUAGCAUCCCCACGAAGAAGCCCAUCGCACCGGCCCAGUCGUCCGUCAUGGAUGCAACCAACUUUCCCCAGGAGUAGCCAAGGUUUCGGGAGGAUGAUGGACACCGCGAGAUCCUCUGUUUCAGGAGGAUGAUGGACGCCGCGAGAUCCUCUGUUUCAGGAGGAUGAUGGAUGCCGGCGAGAUCGUCCAUUUCGCCUCCCCGUCCUACGACUAGAUGAAUUGCGGCGUCCAGAUGUCAGCCAAGAAGGCGGCGUCAUUGUUACAAGAUAAAAUGGUUGGUGAAGGAGAUGUGCCUGGUAGUGAAACAGAGGGUUCUCCAAAUAGGACCUCUCGGCGGGACUCAAAACGGGCUGCUAAGCGGAAUGAGCUGGCAUCCUCAGGCUUUUCUAGUUGCACAAGAGUACGUGAUUAGUUGGCAUCCUCAGCAUUUCUAGUUGCACAAUACCAUCCGACUAGUUGACAUCCUCAGUCCUUUUGUAGCUGCGUUGACACCCUCAGCAUUUUCUUCUAGAAGCCUGGAACCUGAAUGUGCACUUUUUUUGAUUGGUCAUGCAAGUGCUGAAUAUUUCUUUUCCCAGGAGUAUCUAAUCAAUUGGCAUCCUCAAGAUUUAUAGUUGCACAAGAGUAUUCAAUUAGUUGGCAUCCUCAGCCUUUCUACUUGCACAAAUAGGCCUUUCUAGUUGCACAAGAGUAACUAUUUUUUAGUCCCAUCUUCAAAUUUUUGAGAGUUUUCCAAGAGUAUCUAAUGACUUGGCACCCUCAGCUUUUCUAGUUGCACAGGAGUAUUUAAUUAGUUGGCAUCCUGAGCAUUUUCUAGUUACACAAUAGCAUCUAACUAAUUGACAUCCUCAGCCUUUCUAGUUGCACAAGAGUAACUAUUUUAGUUGGCAUCCUCUGCAUUUUGUAGUUGCACAACUAACAUAAUAUCAAGUUGGCAUCAUCAACCUUUUUUAUCCAGUUUUUCUGAAGAACAACAAAUAUUUUGUAUGAAGUGUUAACUAAUCACC
Molecule: long non-coding RNA, 1285 nt
Organism: Triticum aestivum (bread wheat)
Lineage: Eukaryota; Viridiplantae; Streptophyta; Magnoliopsida; Poales; Poaceae
Exons: 4
Source: RefSeq, a predicted model, not a curated record